UAGGGAAUCUUCGGCAAUGGACGAAAGUCUGACCGAGCAACGCCGCGUGAGUGAAGAAGGUUUUCGGAUCGUAAAACUCUGUUGUUAGAGAAGAACAAGGACGUUAGUAACUGAACGUCCCCUGACGGUAUCUAACCAGAAAGCCACGGCUAACUACGUGCCAGCAGCCGCGGUAAUACGUAGGUGGCAAGCGUUGUCCGGAUUUAUUGGGCGUAAAGCGAGCGCAGGCGGUUUCUUAAGUCUGAUGUGAAAGCCCCCAGCUCAACCGGGGAGGGUCAUUGGAAACUGGGAGGCUUGAGUGCAGAAGAGGAGAGUGGAAUUCCAUGUGUAGCGGUGAGAUGCGUAGAUAUGUGGAGGAACACCAGUGGCGAAGGCGGCUCUCUGGUCUGUAACUGACGCUGAGGCUCGAAAGCGUGGGGAGCAAACAGG
RNAcentral lists this ribosomal RNA (429 nucleotides) under Gemmatimonadota bacterium. RNAcentral's name for it is "Gemmatimonadetes bacterium partial 16S ribosomal RNA". It matches the Rfam family "Bacterial small subunit ribosomal RNA", at positions 355 to 776 of the family's 1533-position model. Lineage: Bacteria; Pseudomonadati; Gemmatimonadota. The record is from RNAcentral.